This 1209-nucleotide long non-coding RNA is filed under the name Mus musculus (house mouse). RNAcentral describes it as "long non-coding RNA chr10:90413234-90414443". The record is from RNAcentral. Lineage: Eukaryota; Metazoa; Chordata; Mammalia; Rodentia; Muridae.
GAAUUCAAGUCCACGUCCAAUUUGAUAUUAGAGCUUGUUUUGUGAUAUUACAAGUUGAAAUGCUAAUUCUCUCCAUAGCUCUCAAAAUAAAAUUAAACAUUAAAAAUGUUUACUGGUAAGUUCAGGAGGCAUUGAGAACACUGCUUUUGAAAGUCUAGCUUUUAAUUAUUAAAAAACAUUCGCAAAAUGGUCAAUUAUUUACUAUGUAAUGAAAACAGACCCUGCUUCAGAAAACUGUAAAAUUAUUGGUAAAUUGUGUGUGUGUGUGCGUGCACGUGCAUUGGUGUUUUGCCUGGAUGUAUGUCUGUAUGAGGGUGCCAGAUCCUCUGGAACUGGAGUUACAGACUGUUGUGAGCUGCCACAUGGGUGUUGGGAAUUGAACAAGGGUCCUCUGGAAGAGCAACCAGUAGUCUGAAACACUGAGCCAUCUCUCUAGGCCCCAGGAAAGUUGUCUUAAUACCUGAAAGACUCAUUUUACAAUCCUGCUCCUUAGGAAGGGGAUACUUGCAGGACCUGUCUUCCUCCCUUGUGGAAAUGGUCUUAAUUUACCAGUGUUGACUUCACUUAUGGUCUCUCUACAGGUUUACAAGUCAGAGAUCAUCAGAAUUUCUCCAAAUGCUUGUUUUUAUAGAUUUUGAAAUGGGAAUGAUACAUUUCCUUGAGGUUUUGAUGAUUCAUUCAUAAGAAACACCAUAAGGGGAGACAUUAAUUCUGAAAUAAAAAUGAGAUUGCUUUGGAGAAAGAAAGACCUGAAAGAUAUGGUUCAUGCUGUUGGGUUUGGAACGAUAGCUAUAAUGAGAGACCAGAAACAAAGGCAGAACUCAGUGACCACAGCCUAAUGCAGUUUGGAAGACCUGGGUAUGUUCAAUCUACCUUUCUGUGUCUACUGACUCUGUGUGAAUAUGAAUUUCUCCAAAUCUACUGACUGUGUGUGAAUUUGAAUUUCUCCGAAUGUCACGGUUUCUUAAAGCUAGUUAGCGACGUUUUCCUUUAAAUCAAAUCAUGUAUUUAUAUCAUUUAAAGUACCAAAAUUUUAGAAUUCUUUGUUUACACACACACACACACACACACACACACACACACACACACACACACAUAUUAUGGCAAAAUCCUAUUUUAUCAGGCCAGAAGUUCACUUAGUACAGUGUUUACAUUGCAAGCAAAGAACCUGGCUCUAAUUUGCAGAACUCCAAGUUAAAACAAAACAAC